AUUAUAUCAUCACCUACAGACCAGGUGAUCGUAACACUAAAGCCGACGCUCUGUCCAGACAAUUCGAAACUACCGACAAACAAGAGUUUGAUGAUACCCCUGUCAUUCCCCCGGACAGAAUAAUAGCUACUACAGUUCUAUCUAUUUCUUCUUCACUCUUGCAAGUUAUACAGGCUAAACAAAACAUGGCACCCAGAGAGAGACCUGCUGAUAAACUGUUCGUUGAUGUUCCCGAAAGACGGGACAUU
Molecule: non-coding RNA, 248 nt
Organism: Pelobates cultripes (western spadefoot toad)
Lineage: Eukaryota; Metazoa; Chordata; Amphibia; Anura; Pelobatidae
Source: the annotation of a GenBank genome assembly